AUUAAAAGGUUGAGCUCAGACCACAAACACUACUUUCUGUUCACCUACUGCCCCUGCAACAGGGCCUUCCCCUGAUCUGAGCUAAUCCCACAGGCUAAUCUUGCCACUAGCUUGAGAGCCACAGGAAUCAUUCUACUCUCCCUCAAUGGGAGGAAUAGUCCCAGUGUUCUAACCCAGCUGCAGUCCCAAAACGGGAUACAUGUGAUAGGACCAUGUGCACCACUACGAUGGUCCUCACCACUAUUGCUGUCAUCCUAUACAGAAAGUUCUCAAACCGAGUCGAACCGCACAAUGUUGAUGAUGCCAAUGAGGUGCCCUACAUGAAGAGCAAUGGAGUCGACCCUAAGAAAUAACAACGCUCACAGCAGAUGUAGCUCUAGUCUACAGUCUACAUGGUACAUAAAAGUAGAAUAACAAGUAGCCUACAGAAGUGAAUGCUGUCUGAUAUUUCAAGAUGUGGAAAGGAAUGCAAGAGGAGGGGAAGAGAGAGGUAGGGAAAAUGGAACAUGUGGCAGAAGUAGAGAUGCAUGAAGUGAGAAGAUGUAUGCCCGUUCCACAUUUAGCUUUCAAGUACUCACCACUAUGCUGCUCCCACUAAAUGAUUUAGUGGCAGAACAACAAUCCAUCAGCUCUGUGGAAGGUUAUUAUAAAUGCAUUACCUCCCCAAGCCUACCAGUUCAAUGGAGUCGUGCAGGGCCUCAUAAAUAUGGGUCAAUAAAGGGACACACACAAAAGACUCGGGAUGAAUGAAAUAGGCUUUAUUGUUUUAGUGUGAACUUUCACCCUACCUGUGCGUAGAAGCUCUCAGAUCUGAGGCGGGUCUUUUCAAAUGAAGAGACGUGAGUUUAUUAAUUUAUUCAUAGCAUGAUAUCUCCCUAAAUUAUUAAUGUCCCCCCGCAUGUAAGCUUUUAUGCGCCCUCUUUUCUCUAUUUUCUUCCAGACACGAACUGAAGACAGGUCUUCACCUUGAUGGCUACACAUCUGUUUGACAGGCAAACAUCCUAUAACCUAAACCCCAAAAUGGAUAUGUUACAGACAACAGCAGCAGCUCCAUCUCAGUCAUCUGGAAUUGAUGCAGCUGGCUCCAUUGUCUCUCCAGUGUUCAGAGACUGUGCAUUGCCAUGUGAAAAGCAACUGGAAUUUAUCACAUCUUCAAUCCCCCAUCUGUCCCUCUAAUGUUAGAGGAGUCCCAGGAAGCCUCCCUCCUCCUUCUUGAGGCAGGAGAAUUCAAUUUCUGGGAAUGAAACCUCAACCAAUAACAUCUUGGUGGAGGUGAAUCUACAGUCCAACAUCUUGGUUUAUUGUGGGUUUCUUGUUUUGUACAGUUGGACGUUUUCUUAAGGCUUAAAGUAGGCCAAUGGUCAAUGUAAAACUGUUGGAAAGUGUUCCGUGCCUCAACAAACAGUUGUUGUUUUUUUAUUGUCAUUUUUUGUCUUUGAGCAAAUAGGGCUGUACAGAUUUGUGUCCAUUGAGUAAAUUAUAAUGGCUUUUAAAGAAGAGGCAGAACUUUAAAAUUAUGCACUUUAAAUGGUAGGAUGUUUUUGGUAAUCUUUCACAUUCCUAAAGUGACCUAAAUCUUGUUUUGACUGAAACAAGGAGCUUUGGAUAAGCAAUAUAUUUCAAAUGAAUCGCUUGAACCCAUAAAUAUUUGACCAAAUGUCAGAGAACAUAAAUGUCUUGUCGUGAAGAUGUGUGUGCCAUGGCUACUCAAUCUAAAGAGCAAUGGAGAGAGGCAUCAGUUUUGUACCUCUCUGUCAACCCUCUCCAGUCACAAUGCAUUGCUAUGUGAUGAAAGAAAGCAUGCAAUGAAUCACCUCUUCCCCUACACCUUUAGCAUCCCGUUGGCCCAUUAAAGGAGCAACAGUCAGAAAGAGGUGUGUUACUAGUCUGCCUGUGUUCAAAACACAGCUCCAACUUUACUUGACAUUCUUAGAAGCAGCUAGGUGUCACCUUAGUAAACGUCUGCCUUGAGUCAGAGCUUGGUGAUGAUGGUGGUUACUGGUAGGACGGUUUGUUACAGAAUCGACUUUUCUUUGACAUGUCAUCUUACAACCUGCUUCUUCUCUCUAAAGCAAAAAUGGUGUAUGUUCUUUGCUCUCCCCACCUGAUCAAAUAAAGAGAUUGGAAAAAUGUA
Molecule: long non-coding RNA, 2134 nt
Organism: Oncorhynchus keta (chum salmon)
Lineage: Eukaryota; Metazoa; Chordata; Actinopteri; Salmoniformes; Salmonidae
Exons: 3
Source: RefSeq, a predicted model, not a curated record